GACUGAGCGGCGGACGGGUGAGUAACGCGUGAGUAACCUGCCUCAUACAGGGGAAUAACAGUUAGAAAUGACUGCUAAUGCCGCAUAAGCGCACAGGGCCACAUGGCCUGGUGUGAAAAACUCCGGUGGUAUGAGAUGGACUCGCGUCUGAUUAGCUGGUUGGUGAGGUAACGGCCCACCAAGGCGACGAUCAGUAGCCGGCCUGAGAGGGUGAACGGCCACAUUGGGACUGAGACACGGCCCAAACUCC
Molecule: ribosomal RNA, 250 nt
Filed under: uncultured Eubacteriales bacterium
Lineage: Bacteria; Bacillati; Bacillota; Clostridia; Eubacteriales
Description: uncultured Clostridiales bacterium partial 16S ribosomal RNA
Rfam family: Bacterial small subunit ribosomal RNA
Source: RNAcentral